This 496-nucleotide ribosomal RNA is filed under the name uncultured bacterium. RNAcentral's name for it is "partial 16S ribosomal RNA". It matches the Rfam family "Bacterial small subunit ribosomal RNA", at positions 28 to 507 of the family's 1533-position model. The record is from RNAcentral.
GAUGAACGCUGGCGGCGUGCCUAAUACAUGCAAGUCGAGCGAACAGACGAGGAGCUUGCUCCUCUGACGUUAGCGGCGGACGGGUGAGUAACACGUGGAUAACCUACCUAUAAGACUGGGAUAACUUCGGGAAACCGGAGCUAAUACCGGAUAAUAUAUUGAACCGCAUGGUUCAAUAGUGAAAGACGGUUUUGCUGUCACUUAUAGAUGGAUCCGCGCCGCAUUAGCUAGUUGGUAAGGUAACGGCUUACCAAGGCAACGAUGCGUAGCCGACCUGAGAGGGUGAUCGGCCACACUGGAACUGAGACACGGUCCAGACUCCUACGGGAGGCAGCAGUAGGGAAUCUUCCGCAAUGGCGAAAGCCUGACGGAGCAACGCCGCGUGAGUGAUGAAGGUCUUCGGAUCGUAAAACUCUGUUAUUAGGGAAGAACAAAUGUGUAAGUAACUAUGCACGUCUUGACGGUACCUAAUCAGAAAGCCAUGGCUAACUACGUG